RNAcentral lists this long non-coding RNA (1011 nucleotides) under Ananas comosus (pineapple). Its description in RNAcentral is "long non-coding RNA (ACOM_LNC008449)". Lineage: Eukaryota; Viridiplantae; Streptophyta; Magnoliopsida; Poales; Bromeliaceae. The record is from RNAcentral.
AAGAUAUUAGUUAUUGCAUAAACACACUAAUAAAUAAUUAUUAAUUUAGCUAAUAUUUUAUUAUUAAAUUAGUUAAUUUUUAAUUUAGCUAAUUAGUUAAUAAAAUGAUAUAUAUAAUAUAUUAAUUAAUAAUAUUUUAUUAUUAAACUAGUAGAGGUAUAAAGAGAAAAAUUUGCUAUUCCACCAAAAGGGUGGAACAACAAAUCUCCCCUCUUAACGGGUUAUUCUAGAAUAACCCGUUAAGAGGGGAAUAAAAUAAACUCACUUCCUCUUAUAGUGUUUGGAUGAAUUAGAGGGAUAAAGUGGUCUAUUCCCACUUUAUCCCCCAACCAAACAAUGCCUUAGAGUGUAUAUAUAGUAUUUUUUUUAAAAAAAUCUUAAGGGAGCUAUUUCAGAAUAUACAAUCGGUGAGCGGUCUCCUUACAUUUUUAUCGUAAAAAAUUAGCAUCCAAUAAUUCGACCUGUUUCGUGGACUGGUCUCCUCGUUUACUCCAGUCACCUCUACAAACGUCAAUCCACUAAUUGUCCACCGAUUUCCACCAAUUUCUUUAUAACACAACAAAUUUUGGUUCAACAAAUUUUGGUUGUAUUGAAAUAGCGAUGCGUUGCACGAAUAUACUGUUAGUGGGUGCCUUUAGUUAGCCACUUGGUUCAUUUUUUACAAUACUCAAAUGUGCAGUUACAAUUAAAUGGCACUAUAAAAAUCUUUCGAUAUAAGGAUGUUUUUUAAAUAACACUUAACAACGAUAUUUCAAAAAGCGUCGUCAUAUAAAACCCUCUAUUACAACAAACCGAUUUAUUAGAUGAUAUACUUUAUUAUUAUUUUUAAUUUUUGACACUUUAAAGCGUUAGAAUUUCAAAAAAAUUCUUAAAAAUUCUGACACUUUAAAACAUCAUAAUAUAUUUUAUCGACGCUUGGCAUAAGCGGCGGUAUAUAAGAAGUGAUGUUUUAAGAGACGCUUUUAAAUAUAAAAAAAACAUGUUUAAAUUUUUUUUUUUUUUUGUAGUGUG